GGAGACCAGUUUUUGAGUGCAGUCCAGUUAAGAGUUCAGCAGUCUGAUGGCAACUAACUCUAACUUUUACUCACUCUGAUUAGAUAUUUAUUGAACUUUGCUACAUAGUGCCGGCGUCUUUAAAUUAAUCCUUAUUUUAUUGCUCAGAAUUGACUACAUUUUACUACAUUUGAUUACAUUUUUUUUUUUACAAAAUUGUAAUAAUUUACACAUACUUUCCCAAAAACAUACCUGACAUUUACUCAAAGUUUGAUUUAAUAUUUAUUCAACUUUGCUACAUACAGCUGCAGCUACAUUUUAUUGAUCAGAGUUGACUAAAUUUAGUUUUCUUUUUUUCUAGAAAAUGUACAAAUUCCUUCCCAACAACAUAUCUGACCAACCUUUACUCAAAGUGUGACCAAAUUCUGCUUUUAAUUUAAUAUUUCCUAAACUUGGCUACACACAGCUAGCGUCUUCAAACAGAUCCUUAUUUUAUUGGUUAGAAUUUAGUAAUUUUUUUUUAUUUUUCCAAAAAAUUUGGUAAUUGUUUUUGCAAAAUUGUAAUAAUUUACACAUCCCUUCCCAACAACAUAUCUGACUAGUUUAAUGAAAGCAUUGUUUGUCGUUGGAGUUUGGACACCCCUGAUCUAGCAUUGUCCAAAAGAAAAAAGAAAAAAAAAAUCCAAAUCCUGUUUCUGACUCUUCAAAGCAAACGUGAGGAUUUACUGUUUAACACUAAAGAUGUUACUUUGCUUCAAUGAUUUAUUUUACCCAUAACCAUGUACAAAUAAACAAAACCUUUACAGCUUUGUAUGGUCACACAUUUAGCAUUCAUUGGUCCAAAAGCACUCCUGACGGUGACAGAAAAACCUCGACGCCGACUGAUUCCUACGUCGGCGCCUCGGCGUUGCACUGACGUCACAAAUGUACCAUCCAUUCUAACAGUUUCAUUGCAAAGAAAAUAUUCACAUGCAAUGAUUGGAAAACAAAAAUUACAUUACCUCAUGUCACAUAGAAAGUAAGCGAAAAGUUCCAGUAUUUAGAAAUAAGUUUUCUUCAGAGAUUCGUCUCUUUUUGUUGUUUUUUUUGUAAAUGUUUUUUAUAGUCCUACACAUUCUGUCAACAGCGUUGUUGGUCUCAUUUGGGUUGUAAACAUAAAGUUACAGCCGGCCGGCUGCGUACCAUUGCUCAGAGAGAAUUGGUCGAUCGAUCGGUUGCUAUCAAUCGGCUGAUGGGGAAGAAUUGGGUUGGGGGAAAUACAAACCGUUCUUUGGGGCAACAAGACACCAGCGAGAGACUGGAGAACAGACUAAACAGUAAAUUUGCGUAAGACACCCUGAGAAUCACAACUACGUUUCCCUCUUCCUGUCCUCUCUCUCCUUUUUAUUUUUCUCAUUCCUCUGCUUCUUCCUCUAAGAUCAAAUCAUUGCCAGGUGGGCGUGGCCUCGUCAGUUGGGUUGCUUGGUCGGUAGCUUGGUUUUGUUGUGCUGGAAGCCAGUUGCCGGGCAACUGGCCCCCCCCCCUGCGGGUUGCCAUGGAAACGGGUUAAGGUGGAUUCUGGCCUGGUAAAGGUAGUAUGCGGCACGUACAGUAGUAUGAACAAGAGGAUGCAGGAUGCAGCUCUGGGGGAAAAGAGCAAGUCUUGGUUCGAAGAUUAAAGAAAUUAAAUUUUUUUUUUUUAAAUGAGUGAAAUGGUGUAGAAAGUAAGCGCACCGCCUUCAGAUUUAAUCCCUAAAUGUUGAAAUAAACGCUAACAAACGUCUGUCACGUGAAUUUCUGUCCCCAAAACGUUUAUUUUAUGUUACUUUAUGUUGCACAACGACUACAUCUGCUUCCCACAGCAAAAAUAGUCCUGGUGAAAUUCUCUGCGACUGCAGGGGUUCCCUCACUUUUCAGCCUGUGGCCGCCAAAAUAAGAGCGCCAGAGACUUGCGUGACAUGUGAUAAUUUUAUUUCAUUGUGACUUUUUGUUUGUCUGAUUCAGUUAGUUUUAAUUAGUUGGGUUUGCUAGUUUUUAUUAAUUAUUAGUUAAAUAUUAUUUUGUUUUUGUUAGUUAUAGUAGUAGUUUUAGUUUUUUCAUACUUUUACGGAUUUACGCCGCAAUUUUCAGACAACUAGCGUAAACUUAAAAACAAAUUUCACAUCAGUUCAAAAGGCUAAUAAAUAAAUUAAUAGACACAAAAACAAAGGAUGUCAUAUUUAUAAUUUCAUUAUGUUUUAGUUUUAUAAACACACACUAUAGUUCAAUUUAGCUUCCCCUCAAAUUACCGUUUUUAUUUCAGUUAACAAAAAUGUUUUCCCAAUUUCAGUUUUUGUUAUUUUGUUAGUUUUAGUUGGUUAAUAACCUCAAAUGCAACCCUCUAAAAAAGGCAUUAUUUCCCUCGGUUUAUUUAAAUUUAAUUUAUAAAGUGCCAGUUCCCAACAAACGUCAUCUCAAAGCUCUUCACAAAAACUAAAUUUAAUCACACAUUAAAUUGGAACACAUGCUAUUUUUUCCAUUCUGAAAAAUGUUAAACCUAUAUGUACAUUAUUUAUUUCAUGACAUAUUUAAUUAUUUAACCCUGCAUGCACGUUAGGAGCUACAUUAUUAUAAUUCUAAAAAUGACUUAGUGACCCCUUCAAUUGGCGUCUUGCGACCCUUUCCGGCCCACGACCCCCACUUUGAGAACCCCUCCUUUACUGGAUGCUUCCUUUUACACUUUAGUGCUAAAUUUCUUUCACCUCUGAGGCUUUGGAGGCAGAAGUCCAAGGAACAGACGUGUUAAAGCAAACUAAACCCAAAUUGGUUGAAACUUUAAUGAAUCAAGCAACUGAAUUCGGUUUUGUUUGGAUUUCAACCGUCAGGAAUCUAAAAAGUAAAAAAACAAACAACAAAAAAACCACUUUAACUUUUAUCCCCAGAUCUGUCAGUAUAGAUUGUGACAGUAGUAUGUUAUCGAUGGAGGACAUCACAUGGGGCUGACGUGGUGUGCAGCAAAAGGAUGGCGCAGGGGUAGGCGGUAGUGGUGGACAGUGAUUGGUUGAUUUGGUUGGUCAGGUGACUGAAGGGGGUUAUGGACAGUCGAGUUGAGUCAGAUCACAUGAUGAGGGUUUGCAGCUAUAACGUCAGGCGGUUCCAUCAGGGAGCAUGGAAGCCUGACAGGUUUUAGCUUUUUGGUGGACACUGGACAGAAACACCCACCCCGAGCCCCAACCUCACACACACACACACACACACGCACGCCCACCCCAACACACACACACUCGCCCAACAAACACCCACACCCCAACACGCAUGCAUCCAAAGGAAAGUUAGAAGCAACUCAUGCACGCUCACUUGAGUGAAGUCGGCCCUGCCCACCUUCUUCAAAUUAAAUGAAAUUGGUGUCAAAUUUUGUGCUGCAAAAUCUUUUGUUUGUGCUGCUGUCAUUUUAAAGACACAAAUGUUUCUGGAGGUCAUCAAAGGUAAACCAGCCAUCCACAUUUACAAAAUCAAAUAAAAUCUGGUGUUAACUAUGCUGCGUUUGUGCAGCACAAAUUUUCAUUUUAAAAGCAGCAUAAACUUGAGGGCAAGUUUUAAACCAAUUAUUGAUUAGUUCACAUUUAUAAAAUCUAAUUAAUUGAUGUGAAUAAACUGUGCUCAAGAUUUAGCAGAAAGUUCAGAAAAAAAAACUCAUUUUGGAGGUUUGUGCAGCACCAAAAUUGAUACUGCUACAUUUGUGCAGCACAAAUUUAAUUUUGUGUUGCUGUCAUUUUAAAUAUAUUCAUAAAUGUUUCCAGAGGUCACCACAGGUAAAGAAGCCCGUCCAUGUUUAUUAAAUCAAAUAAAAUAUGGUGUCGAUCAACUGUGCUGCACAAACGUAGCAGCACAAGUUUUGGUGCUGCACAAACGAAGCACAGUUGAUUGACACCGUAUUUCAUUUAAUUUCAUAAAUGUGGAUGGGCUGGUUGACCUUUGGAAAAAGACACAAAAAGUUGUGCAGCACAUUAAUCAAUCAAUCAACGUAGCACAGUCGCUACAUUGUGUGGCACAAAGUAGCGACUGUUUAAUUUCGUAAAUGUCUAUUGGCUGGUUGACUGGAAACAUUUAUUAAAGUCUUUAAAGCAAUAGCAGCACAAAUGAAAGUGUUGCAGCACAAACAUCUGACACGGAUUUUGUUUAAUUUGAGGGAAGUGGGCGGGGCCGACGUCCCUCGGGUUGGUGUGAAUGUUUUUAGCUCACACCAGCUAGCACUCGGUCCCACCCCGGACUUGCGAUGUGUUACUGUGAUGAUGCAGAGUGUGGUGGAAGGUGAAGAAUAAGACAACGGAAGACAGGUGAUGCUAAAAUGAACAUUUAUAAUGACUGCUGUUGCUGUCGCAAAAUAAGAAUCCUUAAAAAAAGACCUCAUAUAUAUAUUAGCACUAGAUUGCCCACUUCACUGGUAAUCCACAAGUCAAGAAACACAACUCACUAGGUUUUUUUUUUUCGCUUUACAAACACAAUGCUACAAUUACAUUAAAUAUUCAAUAAUUUUUAAGUCAGUUAAUGAAUGUUGUUAAAAGCAACCACUAAGAUACUAAAAAAUAAAAACAAAACAAUAGUAUUAAUUCACCUUUUUUUUUCCAGUCAUUCCCUUUUUCUUGUUGCGACGUUAUUUAUUAAUAGUAUAUCAAUAAUAGUCUGAGAAAUAAAUAGCUCAUGUGGUGUUGUCACGGCGAUGGGGCAGGCAGCAUAAAUCAAGAGUGGAGCUGAGAGCAAUGCAAUGAAAUGGCGGGAGUCGAAUUUAUUUCCAGAAAAAAAUGCAACAUGGAGAUAUGAUCCGACUUUUUCUUCUUUUUUUUUUCCACUAAUGGCGGUGUUUUUAUUUUUUGUAAUGAUGAUAUAUGUGGCUAACGCUAAUAAAAACACACUAACGCCACUACAACUCACUGGUAGGAAACACAUCAACAAAUGCACAUCGAGAAUGGCGUUUAGCUAGCCGUCGAGGUUAGCGGUUGCUAUCUGAAGCUAACAGGGAAGCUAACAGUGCACACAGGAGGUAAAUCAACACUAAUAACAGCACAGGGCAACACUAGCAGAGCCGAUUAAAGAUCACACUACGGGAGUUCAGGAGUUUCUCUCUUUAUGCUGCCGGCCCCGUUCUGCUUAUCACGUUCUCUCUUUACAGCUUGGCAAAAAACUCUGACAAAAAUAUUUACAAUGAGAGAGAGAGAAAAACGUGGAGAAACAGUUGCUUUUUAUGCGUUUUCUUUUCUUUAAGGAUCUUUUUCUUACUUUCAUUUUUUUUUUUUUACUUGUAUCUCAGAGAAAUGUCCCCCAAUGAUGAGCAACAAACAAACAAACAAACAAAAAAAUAAUAAUAAUCCAAUCAUAUCAGCUAGCAUUGCACAGUCUCAAGAGAGGUUUUAGGGAUGGAAUGGAGAGUUAUCGUCCAAACAGUUGAAUGAACACAGAAGUGGGGAAGGAAGGUCAAAGUUCAUGAGGAAGGAGGGAGGAGGAGGGGGUGGGGUGAAAGUUCAAAAAUAGUUCGAGAAGACAGAGGAUGGGCUGCGCAGCUGACGGUGCGUAAACACUCCCCCACACACACACCACGGUGCGUGAUUUGGAUGUUAAACGACAAACAGAAACAAAACAAAAAAUCAUCAUUAGAAAAAAACAAAAUGGAGAUUUAAAAAAAAAAAAAAUCUUUCCCCAUUGAGAAAAAAAAUCAAAUGGAGCGAGAGCGAUCACAGAGAAAGGAAGAAAGAAGGAAGGAAAGGGGGAAAUGGCACACAAUCAAAAUGGAGUCCAACAGGCUGAAGAAAUGACAGAAUUAGGAGGGAAAAAAAGAAAAGAAAAAGCAGCUGGCAUGAGCGGUAGUAGCGCUGUUUCUGUUUGGUUUCUGGAGUAGGAAGGUAGCCGACCUGCAGAGGGGUUAAUCCUGGCCGGGUUUAGCUCUGUGGAGGGUGGAGGGUGGGGGGGGUGAGGAAGAGGAGGAGGAGGAGGAGGAGACAGGUGGUGGUAGGUGGGGCAAAAGGUGCCGUUCUGUUGAGGCGUCAUGAGCGACAUCAUGUUAUGAGGGGCGGAGCAUGCUGGCUUCAUGGGUGCUUCCAAGAUGGAUGUCCAAGACAAUACAACUCAAAAACGCUUGGAAUGGUAGUAGUAGUAGGAGGAGGAGUAGUAGUCACUGUUUGUUUUUGUUUUUUUUUGUUUGUUUUCCUCUCUUUUUUUCUAUUUUGGCACUCGAGAGAAGAGAUUCGUGGGAGGCGGCAGAGGAGAAGAAAAGUGUGAGUGUAUGUUUGGACGAAGAGGAGGAGGAGGAGGAAGGAGUGGGCAGUGAAAGUGCACAAAAAGGAGAGCAUGGAGUGUGUUUUGUUUGUGUUUAUGUGUAUGUUUGGAAAAAAAAAAGGGUAAACAAGCUACAGACAGAAAAUGGCAUUCUUUUUUUUUUCUUUUUCGUUAAAACAGAUUCGGGUUAGAGCAUACAGUACAAACCAAAAACCAGGAAGGUAAAGAGAUCAACAGAAGAAGAAGGAACAGAAAAACAGUGAUGUGACAAAUGCAGUCUACAGUUGCUGCUGGUGUUUCAAUGGGGACCGAGUUUCCUGUAACACACCGCGGAAAGCAGGUUUCUAGAGGUAGGUGGAGUAAAAAGGGCCAAAAAAUGAAAAAUGAAAAUCAGAACAAGUUAUGACCUGUUGAGCAGGUUAGGGGUUAAACUAGCUACACAUUUAAGAAAUUAUGAUUCAUCGGCUUUCAACAGAGACGGACAUGAGGAGCAUGCACAUCUAAACACACAAAACACGGAUUAAUGCUAAACAUCUACAGUGGUCUCACGCUCAGCUCGGCCCGUCAUGCAGUGUCAGCAGAGUUUAACUAGUGCAAACAUUUAAAACCUCAUGGCAAUACUUUCUGACAGGAGGAUAAGACGGCCAUGCUGAAGCCGAUAAAGUGAACACCGGAGGUGCCGGGACUAAAAAAUACUUAUUUUAUCUGGGAGUCAGAAAGGUGUUUACCAGAGAUGCACCGAUCUCAGCCGAUACCGAUCACGUCUGGUUUCCUUUUUUUAUGGACUGAAAACCCGAGAAAAAACCUGCUGCAGGUUUUCAUGAAGGAGGCUAAUUGCAUAAAAAUCAAUUUUUAAAACGUUGAAAUACUGUUAAAACAAGACGAAACGGCUAAAAAACAAAUAUAAGUCGAUAUCAACAAUUAUUGAUUAAUUUCUUGUUUCAAAUAUCUGAAAUACUGCCAAACUGUUGGCGUAACCUUUCCUGUUUUCCAGUUGUUUAUUUUCAAACAACUUUAAACUGCCAGUUACUCAGCAGGUCGUUGCUAGGUAACCAAAGGUUAAGGGGGGGGGCUUGUGACUGCUUCUCACCCAGCAGGCUGUUGCUAGGCAACCGAAGAGCGAGCGAGUCGGGUGAUUCCACCAACCUAAGCUAGGUUGACUCUCUCAUGUUUUAUCUAGCUGCUAAAACAUGAGAGUUUUAGCGGCUAGCGUGUUUCCUUUGCCAUAUUCUAGUAAAAUGUCAGAGUUGCAUCAUUAGCUUAGCAUCGUUUACGAAAAAGAGAUUCUGCUGAAUGGAAAUAUUUCUGCAGCACAAAACCCCGGAGAGUCACAGCAUGGAAACUAUUGUAUUACACUAUAACAAGAUAGUUGAUAAUCAAUAAAGUGUAAUAAUCUGUGCAAUAUAUUGUUUAAAAUACUGCAUCAUUAUACUGUAGGACUCCUUAACCUUUAUUUAAACUCAGAACAUUUCAUUUAAGUGUUUACAGCAUGACGAAAUGUCACUUUUCUGUUUCGAUUUAUUAAAUAACAGGGGGAAAAAAUCGUCUGGUUCUGAUGACCGGAUCGGUGCAUCCCGAUUAAAACACCGACGCAUGAAGGAGUUUUUACCUCCUUCUGUCACACCGGUCCUGGAUUCCUCCUGCAUAACUAACUGACUGCAUAAACUGAUGAAUUAAUGCCAAGAUAAGCCAGAAAGUGAGGGAAGGGGGAAUAAAAAGACUCCAGACAAAACGCGCCAACAGGUUAGUAAUGUUAGAGUACGAAACCACAGAAAAACACAUGAAAGCUCCUGCAGCAGUUGUGAGAAAAGUGAAACUCAUGAAAUGAUGAGAACAUUCGUGGACAAUCUCUGUCUAGAUUUGUAGCUAAAUCCUAAGAAAUAUAUAGAUUUUAAUGUGCGUUUCAAUAUUUUUAAUCCAAGCUCGCUCAGGAUGUAAGAAAGGAAAGUUUGUUCAAAAGCUUUGUUCAAAUCCCUCGCAAGGAAGUCAAUUUAAACUCUAAAAAAUUUCCUCUUCCUGUUGUAGCAAACAUGAGGCGGCCAUGUUUGUUUCAAAGCAGCUGCAUGGAAUAACAAGUUUGAACGUAAAACAAUAUCAAAUGCUCUACCCUUAUCGACAUGCAGAGAUUUGUUUCAGAAAAUCAACAACACACACUGCCUAUUUUUUUAUUAUUUGUUUUUCUUUGUUUUUUUUCUUCUUUUUUUGUCCACGCUUCACUUUGAUAUCAUGCAAUAUAGACGUGCAAAAAAGAUAACAUCUAUUUCCACAAAAUACAUUUUAUUUAUUUUUUUCUUGUUGUAGCUAUAAAAGGUUGUACUUAAGAAUGCUAUCU
This is a long non-coding RNA of Xiphophorus couchianus (Monterrey platyfish), 8539 nucleotides long. RefSeq lists it as uncharacterized. Lineage: Eukaryota; Metazoa; Chordata; Actinopteri; Cyprinodontiformes; Poeciliidae. The record is from RefSeq and is a predicted model, not a curated record. The transcript is spliced from 2 exons.